CCCAUGUGCUGGGAGAGGGACAGGGAGGAAGCUCUCCCUUCCUGGUGGCCCGGCCCUGAGUAGGGGUCAGUGAGGGGUCUUUAACUGACUCCCAGGCCCCUCUCCAAGCCCCUCUAUGAGCAGAGAGGCUGAUGCCCUUUCUGCUUUUCCACAACUGAGAUCUCACCUCCACAGAGGGACCUCCACCCCUCCCCAUCCCUGCUUCCCCAGAGUUACUGCCUACAUCCCACUGGCCUCAGUUUGGGCAUCUGAGAAAAGGGAACCUCACUCAGCACUCCUAAACUAUACUUCACCUAAAAGACAGAGAAGCCUGGAAGAGGGCACAGCAGUGGUAAAGAAGCCAAAUUAGAGGGCUGGAGCUGCCGCUGGGAGAGAGGAGCUGGUCACCUGAAUUAGGAAACACUUGGCAGAUGAGCAGCUGGAAGCGAGGCAAAAGAUGCUCAAUGAAUCUAGAGAACAUUUUUGAAACUUUUACAUGUGGACAUCUCCUAGAGAAACUUCAGAACACGAGACACGAAAAGGAAAUCGCAGAAGAACCCGGAGAGGAACGGAAGUGUACUGCUCGAGAACGUUUGGAUUAACAGGAUGCUUCUCAACAGCGACGAGAGUGGCCCAAAACAACAGGAAACGUCCUCAAAGUGCUGAGAGGACACAGGCGUCCAGCUAGAAUUUUCACCCAGCUAAGGGGUUACUCGAGAGUGAGCGUGAAACAGGCGUUUCAGAAGGGCUGAGAGCACUGUCCUUUGCUGGAACCCCCCUCAGAGGGGACCUGAGGCAGAAGGAGGGGAGCCCCAGGAGGAGGAGCAGCAAACAGGGGUGAAACGUGGGGACGCAGUGCAAUACAUACUGACAGUGAUCAUUAGUUGUAUCAAGAAUGAAGAUUUCGGUGAUGACAAAAUAGAACUAAAAUAGUAGAUGAUAAUGCCGUGUAACAUGAAAACCGUAGAGACCGGAGUGAACGCAUUCAAAGGUGACUGUGGGAUUCAAGAGAAUGGUAGAGAUCAACCAAGUCUGACUUUCAGUCAAGUAUGCGUGCUAAAAAUUAAGAGCAAGCGUUAAAAGAAUAGAUUGGAUUGAAUCAAAUGGAGAUGCUGAUGUCUGACCAGUUUCGACCAACAUAACGGCAAUUUCACGUGGUUCAGCCUAAUACACUGUGUAACUUCCAGACGAACAAAGGUAAAGCGGAGACCACUCCGCCAUACCAAAGGCAGGCAGGAAAGGCAGUGGAGGAGAGGAGCCAGGAGAGCCAUAUGUGCCCCCAAAAGGCGACGAUAGAAGCUGGAGAGGAAACUCUGCAAUUAAAACACAAACUCUAGGAUUAGUGGAAUUUGACGGCAUGAGUUAGUGUCAGAGACAGAAGGGCGAGUGGAAAAGCAGGGCGCCCAGGACAUACACAGGUUGAUACCAUCCAUGCAAAACUUAAAGCACGGAGACGAGACCAGGCACUGUGUCUGGGGACACGAAAACUGUGUGCACCUGCCCGGGACCAAAACACAGCUGCACGAUGGUGACUGAAAAUUGAAAACAAAAUUAUAGAAGAAUGAGAGGACCAGCUAAUGGAAAAAUGAGCGAAAGACUUGAGCAGACGCUUUAUGAACGAGACACCCGGACGGCCAAGACAACUAGGCAGCGUCAGUCACUGCCCUCAGUGAGCAGGAAAAUGAGCACACGCCUCGAAUGAGCUCCCCGGUGCCAGGCUUCACUCCUCUGGCUCCUACUGUUUCUCUUUCCUUGCUGGCGAUUUCCUCAUGCUGAGGCAGCGCGGGGAGGAGGUCCCAUCUGGGGAACACGGAAGCCAGAAUCUGUGCCCCCCUCCCAGGGCUAGAAGCCACAGGUGCCCCGACAAGCCUUGCAGUGGUGUCCUGCAAGGAAAAACCGCUCCUUAUUGGACCCAGAGGCAGAGCUGGCUGUGGCUCGGGUGUCUGUCCAGGUCUGGAAGUCAGGACUGUGCCCCCAGCAGCAGGAAAUCCUCCAGCUCCCUGGGUGGGAGAUCCGGCAGCCUGAGUCCACGGCAUGUCCUGCUCCUGCAGAAGCGGCUGGUUCUAGCCAGAGGACUGGUCCUAGACCGAGCUCUGCUCCAGACGAGGACCUGGUAGCGCGUGUCCACCUGGCUCCACACUAUGAGAUGGUUCUUGCUCAUGGUCUGAGCCAGCCAGCUCCAAAACACGCCGGAAUUUCUAAGGGAGAAGCAGCGCAUGGGAAAAGGCAAAGGAGCAGGGGCUUGUUUAGCAAAGGGUUGGGGGGGAGGCAUGGGGGCCUCCAGGAUGCCUCAGGGGAGCCCCAUGAUGCCCAAGGGAGAGUCGGAGCUGGGGUGAGACUAAGGGUUGCGCUGUGAUGUCAGCAGGCCAAGGGUAGCUUCUGUCUAUGCACUGCGUUUUAAGCUAGUUAUCUCUUUGAAUCCUCAAAAUGGCCCUAGGAGCUAGGUUCAUCACCCUGUGUACCCAGGUGGGAAAACGAGGCUCAGCAAGCUUCCUCCACGUAUUAGGGCAGGUGCUUACUGAGUGUGUACUAAGUAGGCGCUGGGACACAGCUGUGAACCUCACAGAUGGGGCUGCUACUCCUGCAGAGCUUAAGGAAGUCGUGACCCAGAGUGGGAACCUGAAUGUGUAAGAGGAGCUGCUGAGGGACACAUGGGAGGGCUGCCUGCCUACCCAGCUGGACGUGGGGUCACUGCCCGCCUACCCACCUGGACGUGCGGUCACAGUGGUCGUACUGGAGGAAUGUCGCCCAUGUCAAGGCCCACAGAGGUCAGAAGGGCAGAGGGAACAGCGUGAGCAGAGACCCUGAGAACAGUGCUCCUUGUGGGGACCAAAGGAGUCCCCAAUAGCUGGAGGAGAGAUGGGAUGUGGGGCUCUGAUAAGAGACGAGGCUGGUGAGCUGGUGAUGGUGGCACAGAUCCCGAAGCAAAGAGGAAAGAAUGAAGGAUUUGAGCAGCAAAUGACAUACCAAAUCCUGUACCUAGAACGACCUCCUGGUUGAAGAGUGAACCACAGGCGGUUUGUGGAGAAGACUGGAGGAAGUCCGCUAGGAAGCAGCCCCUCUCUCCUGGGAGGGGCCGUGAGCUCGGCCCCUGGGGAACUGGCUGUGAGGGAGGAGCGACGCGCACGGGCUAGAGUCUGUUUAGGAGGUCAAGAUGCGAGAAGCUGGAGGUGGGCUCUGAGGCUUGGAAGACAGGGAGAAGAGAGGAGCCAGGUUUUCUGCGGGGCAGCUGGGUGAGCAGUGCGACCACUCACUGCUGAGAGGCAAGGGCUGGGGUGCAGACUGGCGACAGCUGAGGUGCCCGUGGGAGGUCGAAGGGCAGGUAUGAAGUUUGCCCCCCGCGCGAGGGCUCAGGAUCCCAGAACAGGUCUGAACGUGGGUGUCAUCACAGGGCCAGUGCCUGGUUCUAUCUCCAGAGAGAGAAGCUGAAGCCACGUAUAUGGAGGAGGCUGCCAAGGGCGGCUGGGAGCAGUUAGAGGGAAGAAUAGAGCAGGGUAGAAUCCUAAGGACACCAACCUCUACGGGGAACCUGGACGGAGAAGGAGCUACGAGGCAGACGCAGAGCAGCUGCUUUAGGAAUAAAAUGGAUGAAUGGAUACAGAAAAUGUGGUGUAUAUGUACAACGGAAUAUUGUUUGGCCGUAAAAAGAAAGACAUCCUGCCAUUUGCAACAACACGGAUGGACCUUGAACGCAUCAUGCUAAGAGAAAGAAGUCAGACAAAGACAAAUCCUAUAUGAUUCCACUUAAAUGUGGAAUCUGAAAAAGCCAAACCCAAAAAAACUGGGAGGAGAAUGGCGGUUCCCAGGGGGGGAAGGACAGGAGAGGUGUUGUUUAAGGGGACAAAUGCACAGAGAGCAGUAAAUGUGUCCUGGAGCUCGAAUGCACGGUGUCGUGAAUACAGACGAGACUGUGUUACAACCAUCAAACGUGCUAAGAGACUAGAUCUGGAGUAUUCCAACCACUGAAAAGAAAGGAUAAUUACGUGACAUGAUAGAGGUGCUGACAGUGGCACCCUGGCAGUCAUAUCACCAUAGAUGAAGGUCUCAAACCAACAUAUUGUACACCAUAAAUUUACACAAUAUUAUAUGUCAAAUAUAUUUCAAUUUUCAAAAAAGAAAUAAGAGAGAAACCAGAGGAAGAUGAGCUCCAGAUUCCACGAGAAGGAAAACCCUCCAGGCAGCAGGAAUGGCCCUGUGUCUGAGGCUGCCGAGGGGCCGCAUCGCACAAGGACCCGAGAGGACCCGCGGGUGAUCCUCAGGGUAGUGCAUCCGUGAUCUGUGUCGGGAGCCUGGAGUGGAGCCCUGGAGCUGGCAGGAUUUGCCGUGUGUCGGAUGGAGGAGGUGGUCCUGGGAGGAGCAAGUGGAGACGAGUCAGCCCACAGGGGAGAGAUGCGGGCUUGCGAGCGGACGGUGAAGUGGGCGAUGCCUGGGAGUGAGGGGGUGAGAGUGCAGGAGGCUGAGAUAUGAGCCUCGAGGAGUGCGCUGC
This is a long non-coding RNA of Equus caballus (horse), 4465 nucleotides long. NCBI's taxonomy places the organism in Eukaryota, Metazoa, Chordata, Mammalia, Perissodactyla, Equidae. The record is from Ensembl.